RNAcentral lists this transfer RNA (68 nucleotides) under Heliconius melpomene (postman butterfly). RNAcentral's name for it is "tRNA HMEL013478". It matches the Rfam family "tRNA". From Rfam's summary of the family: Transfer RNA (tRNA) molecules are approximately 80 nucleotides in length. Their secondary structure includes four short double-helical elements and three loops (D, anti-codon, and T loops). Lineage: Eukaryota; Metazoa; Arthropoda; Insecta; Lepidoptera; Nymphalidae. The record is from RNAcentral.
UUGUAUGGCUUAGUGGUCAGAGUGCUUUACGGUUUCCAAAAGGCGCGGGUUAAAAUCCCGCUACAUAA